Conger conger (European conger) is the source of this 1003-nucleotide long non-coding RNA. RefSeq lists it as uncharacterized. The transcript has 2 exons. The record is from RefSeq and is a predicted model, not a curated record. Lineage: Eukaryota; Metazoa; Chordata; Actinopteri; Anguilliformes; Congridae.
UGGGCGGGGACCGGGCAGGAUGUGAUGUCAUGUGCUUGUAGACGCAGGAUUGGCGAGUGUGACUGUCUUCUGAGGACAUUUCAGAUUUUCAGCUGAAAUGACUUCCUCGGUGGUGGAUGAUGCGUUUCGCCAAAGUGCAUCCUUCUGCAGUUAUCUCUUUUUUUUUUUUUUUUUUUGGGCACUUUUUCCACCUCGUGUGUCGCUUGAAGAUUGAUCCCAGGGGGGUCUCGACUUGCACACUGCUGAUGUCACUCUUCAGAGAACAGAACUCCGCUCACAAGCCCCGAAGAAGCCCCACCUUUCAGAAAGACGUUUCUUUUCUUUUCUCCCGGGUGCUACUGAUCCGGUCUGUCCUCACACCUGACUCCCAGGUAAAGGGAGGGUGAACACACCUGACUCCCAGGUAAAGGGAGGGUGGUCACACCUGACUCCCAGGUAAAGGGAGGGUGAUCACACCUGACUCCCAGGUAAAGGGAGGGUGAACACACCUGACUCCCAGGUAAAGGGAGGGUGGUCACACCUGACUCCCAGGUAAAGGGAGGGUGAACACACCUGACUCCCAGGUAAAGGGAGGUGGUCACACCUGACUCCCAGGUAAAGGGAGGGUGGUCACACCUGACUCCCAGGUAAAGGGAGGGUGAACACACCUGACUCCCAGGUAAAGGGAGGGUGAACACACCUGACUCCCAGGUAAAGGGAGGGUGAACACACCUGACUCCCAGGUAAAGGACUGUGAUUUGCUGAUCCCUGCCCCACACUGUGUUGUGUUCUCUCCUAGCGGAAGUGCAGCUGUCAAUCACCUGGAGUGACAGGUGGCAUUUCCUGUGGGUGGGCGUGUCUGUCCAUGCGUUUGGUUUUCCUGUCUCUGUCCCAUGCUGCUGGGUAGUCCACUUCCUGUUAAAGAAAGUUGUGCUUCUGAUUUCUCUUCAGUGAACUUAAGCUCUUGUCAUUUGUUCCAUAAUCCUUGUCAGUAAUAAUAAUAAUAAUAAUAAUAUCAGUCGCA